CUCUUCCAUCCAUAGAAACCCUAAAACCCCUCUGAGCACCUUUUGAUGCUUGUUUCCCUUACGUAUCAGGUACAAAAGUCAAAGGACUCAUUGGUUUCCGGGCCAAUUUAGCCUUUGAAACCACCUUCCAUUUAACCUCCGAUGACUUUCUUUCAUUUUCAUCACCGGUUUUCACUCUCUUGUUCGGCUUACAGGAACAAGAAACGCGUUCGUGUUUGUGUUGCCAAUUCCGAUACUUCACUGGAAUCCAAAUCCCGGGGUUCGAUUUCUCUCACGUUCACAAUAUUUCUAUCUAUUAAUUCCUAUAAAAAUUGCGGCACCUCUUAUUUUGCUAAUCCGUCUCUCUCAAAAACCCUAGUUUACCAUCGUUCUUCCCUCUUCGGCGAUCUCAUCUAAAACAUCGUUCUUAUAGUCACUAACUAUCAUCUUUCUCAUAGCGUCACGAGAUCCGGACAUUGAAGGAGGCGAAGGCGGCAGCCUCAAGAACAAUGACAGAACCAUUAACUCGGAAAUCUAUAGCUGGAAGAUCUGAAUCCCAAUCUUUUGUAGUUAGUGCAACAGAGAAAGUGAUUGAUGGAUCUUCUUCAACUAAGCAAUUAGAAGCUCUUGAUGCAGAUUCUGAACAUUCCAAAAUAAAUCUUGAUGAAGAACAACUUGAUGAAAUAAAUGAAAAGGAUUUUGUUGCUUCACCAAUUCUUGUUGAAGAUAUUGCAGCUAUGGAGGAAGUAGAUUUAGUUUCUUUAUUUGAUAUUGUUGUAUCUUACAUCCAUCUCUUCCUUUAUAACAUUUUAUUUCUUAAAAUAUCUUCAGGUUGUUUGAUCAAAUAAGUCAUUUAUGGAGGCUUUUGUUGAUGCAUCAUUUUAAAAGGGAAUGUUGGAACACACAACUGCAGCUCUUCAGCAAACCGAGUCAACUCAUUUUUGUUCUGUGAUGAAUUAUAUUGACUCAAUCGACGCGUAUGGUCCCAUCUGGUGAAUGGUCUGUUAUCUUCUUUAGAGAUUGAUAAUCAUGGGGGGUUGGCUAGGGAGCACAUGCCUGGUAGAUACGCAGAGCUAGAUCAGUAUUGGGGGAGUCGCAAGUCAUGGGGCCCCGUGCAGAGCUGGGCUGAUGAAUUUUCCCAACAAUACGGUGGGGACCUGAAUGUUUGGGCUUUAUCCUUAAUCCUUUGAAUGACAAAUUGGUGCUGGGGGUUGGGCUUCUGAAUUCCAGCAUUUGAAGAAAGAACAUAGCAAGUAUGAAGCAUACAGUCAAGAAAUCAACAAGAGUAGGAUUUAGUGCUUAAAGAUGAUACUUCCAAGUUCAGGGAAUCUAAAAAUUCUCCUUCUCAUCGUGCUUCAGUUCUUAAAGAUGAUAGCUUAUCUUCUUCAAAUGAUGUUUCCAGUAACAAGAGUAGGAUUUCCCACACAUCCAAAUCUAGGGAAAUAAGUGCAUCACCAAAAGCUCCGGAAACCAGUAGUAGACAUGCAUCUUAUGCUACAAAGCCUGUGAAGGUGGAUGAUGAUAGCCAUAGGGAUAGGGCCACCGUUUCUUCACCCAAACUCACAGAAACUUGUCGUAUUAGAAGUGGAUCCAAGUCAUCAAAAUCAAAAGUUGUUGACCAGGUCAAGCCCUCUAAGUCACUAGAGGGAUAUGCUUUCAAGGUCUGACUUGGAACCUUUCUUGUUUUAUAAGAGGUGGAAGGAGGGUGGAGAUUUCAAUCUUUGAUAUCGUUGUGGGUGAUGUCAUAACUCUUAAAAUCGGGGACCAAGUACCAGCUGAUGGGGUUUUGAUUUCUGGUCACUCACUUUCAGUUGAUGAAUCAAGUAUGAUUGGCGAGAGUAAAAUUGUUCAUAAAGAUCAUAAAUCACCAAUUUUAAUGUCAGGGUGUAAGGUGGCAGAUGGAGCAAUCAAUAUUUUCACUAUUGCAGUCACGAUUGUUGUUGUUGCGGUUCUAGGACUUCCAUUAGCUGUCACAUUAACGCUGGCAUACUCGAUGCAAAAAAUGAUGUCGGAUAUAGCGUUGGGUUGAUGAAAGCGAAUAGCUCUCGAGUUAGAAGUGGAAAAGAAAGCUCAAGCCGAAAGAGAUAAGAUGCUGAAAAUGCAAGUGUUGUAUUCUUCAUUUCAAUUGUUAGUAUGAAACAUAGAGUAGAUUAGAUGAAUGCAAAUUUAUAUAUUGUAAGAAAUAGAAUUGUAUGACAUUAAAGUUUAUUCAAUGGAUUGUAUUUUUUUUUGUA
This is a non-coding RNA of Lactuca sativa (garden lettuce), 2213 nucleotides long. The record is from RefSeq and is a predicted model, not a curated record. NCBI's taxonomy places the organism in Eukaryota, Viridiplantae, Streptophyta, Magnoliopsida, Asterales, Asteraceae.